Molecule: ribosomal RNA, 306 nt
Filed under: uncultured Mollicutes bacterium
Lineage: Bacteria; Bacillati; Mycoplasmatota; Mollicutes
Description: bacterial SSU rRNA
Rfam family: Bacterial small subunit ribosomal RNA
Source: RNAcentral
GGGUUAAGUCCCGCAACGAGCGCAACCCUCAUUGUUAGUUACUACCAUUCAGUUGAGGACUCUAAUGAGACUGCCAACGAUAAGUUGGAGGAAGGUGGGGAUGACGUCAAAUCAUCAUGCCCUUUAUGACCUGGGCUACAAACGUACUACAAUGGCCGGUACAAAGAGAUGCGAAGUGGCGACAUGGAGCGAACCUCAGAAAGCCGGUCUCAGUUCAGAUUGAAGUCUGCAACUCGACUUCAUGAAGGCGGAAUCGCUAGUAAUCGCGGGUCAGUAGACCCGCGGUCGAAUACGUUCCCGGGCCUU